GCAUUGUUUGACUUUUAAAAUUUUUGUAUCAGGUGUAAAAUGACUUUUUAAAUAAAGUUGUUUUUAAUGUGAGCAGCUCCUAUUGGCUCGUUUAAAAAGAGGGAGGAGCAGAUUGCACCGCCUAGCGUCUAGUCUUCGCGGUCUUUCGUCAGUUGCGCCUUUUCUCUCCCUGGUGUUUGAGAACGUGGAGGACAAAAGGAUACCAAAGAAUGGAAAACUAUGACAAAGAUUCUUCAAGAUCACAAGCACCAUCUUUAACAUGUUGCCAUGGUAGCAGAUACAGAGGGAACAAGUGUAGACGAUGCCACAAGAAGGAUGAUGAAAUUCCUCAUAUGACCUGAGCUGGCUGUGGAGUACAACAUGCUUGGCCGACAUGGGGAAAAAAAGUUCAGAGAUUUACGUCUUUUUAAUGUUGUGUAUGAGGCACUGAAGAAGAAUUAUUUAACAUCAAAAGUCAACUUGCAAGAAGCAGAGAAGGCUCUCUCCAAGUGGUUCACUGGAGCUAAAGACAGAGGAGGACCGAGGGCUGCAAGGGUACAAAAUAGACUUACGGCUCUGUAAAAAAAACAAAAAAAAAACCCCUGCUGAUUCAAGAUAAGCUUUUGAGUUUUCCAUCUGACUUUUUCUCACUGUUGCAACAGUUCCGAAUAUCUAAGGAAUUUUG
Molecule: long non-coding RNA, 664 nt
Organism: Oreochromis aureus
Lineage: Eukaryota; Metazoa; Chordata; Actinopteri; Cichliformes; Cichlidae
Source: Ensembl